AAAAUAAAAGUAGAUGUGUUGUUAAUAUUGAAGUGAUUUAAGGCCAUCCUUGUUAGCCACUUGACUUAAAUUGUGUCCAAAUUCUCAUAUGAUCCUAGUUUACCCUCUUUAUGCCUUGUAGCAUUUCUUUGAAUUAACCAAUGAUGGGUAGAACUUAGAUUGUUAGUGGUUACUUUGAUAAAAAUGUUUGGGAAAUGAUUGAAAUUGCUUAUCAAGCUUUGAUUGAGUGAAAAUCACUAGUCCCCUAUGAGACUUAAAAAAGAAAAAAAAAGAAAAAAAAAUGAAAAUGAAUGUGAAUAAAAGAGCAUAAAGGGGAGUGAUUUGCCUUUUGAAUCAUAUCAUGAUAAGUAUCACUAAGGGUGAAAAGAAGAAAUGUGGGGAUAUUGGUUUUUGAUUGAUUAAAAAAGAGAAAUGGUGAAUUUGACUUGUUCAUUGUGAUUGUUAGAUUGUGGAAUAUGAGUCAUUUGCCUAAAAACA
This 477-nucleotide long non-coding RNA is filed under the name Salvia miltiorrhiza (redroot sage). RNAcentral describes it as "long non-coding RNA (SMIL_LNC014171)". Lineage: Eukaryota; Viridiplantae; Streptophyta; Magnoliopsida; Lamiales; Lamiaceae. The record is from RNAcentral.